UCUAAGUAUGAACGCCUCAGAGCGUGAAACCGCGAACGGCUCAUUACAACAGCUAUAAUUUACUUGAUCUUGAGCUAUCCUACUCGGAUACCUGUGGUAAUUCUAGAGCUAAUACGUGCACAAAAGCUCUGACCUAACGGGAAGAGUGCAUUUAUUAGACGAAAACCAAGCGGGCCUUCGGGUCCGUCUGCCGUUGACGCAGAAUAACUCAGCUGAUCGCACGGUCCUCGCACCGGCGACGUGUCUUUCAAGUGUCUGCCUUAUCAACUUUCGAUGGUAGUGUACGUGACUACCAUGGUGGUGACGGGUAACGGAGGAUAAGGGUUCGACUCCGGAGAAGGGGCCUGAGAAAUGGCCACUACGUCUAAGGAUGGCAGCAGGCGCGCAAAUUACCCACUCUCGGCACGAGGAGGUAGUGACGAAAAAUAACGAGACCGUUCUCACAUGAGGCCGGUCAUCGGAAUGGGUACAACCCAAACCCUUUAACGAGUAUCUAUGAGAGGGCAAGUCUGGUGCCAG
RNAcentral lists this ribosomal RNA (519 nucleotides) under Nematoda environmental sample. RNAcentral's name for it is "bacterial SSU rRNA". It matches the Rfam family "Eukaryotic small subunit ribosomal RNA", at positions 58 to 570 of the family's 1831-position model. The record is from RNAcentral. Lineage: Eukaryota; Metazoa; Nematoda.